Molecule: long non-coding RNA, 210 nt
Filed under: Nicotiana benthamiana
Lineage: Eukaryota; Viridiplantae; Streptophyta; Magnoliopsida; Solanales; Solanaceae
Description: long non-coding RNA (NBEN_LNC015285)
Source: RNAcentral
UCGAGAGAAGGUGGGGGUGGCCCCGGUGGAUGAGAAGAUGUGAGAAGUGAGGCUGAGGUGGUUCGGUCUUGUGCGGAGGAGUGUCCCGAUGCCCCGGUGAGGAGUUGUGAGCGGCUGGAGAUUGUUGGCGUUCGGCGAGGCAGAUGGAGGCCUAAGAAGUAUUGGGGAGAGGUGAUUAGGCAUGACAUGGCUAGAAUGCGGGUUUCCGAG